GAAACUGCGAAUGGCUCAUUAAAACAGUUAUAGUUUAUUUGAUAAUCAAUUACUACAUGGAUAACUGUAGUAAUUCUAGAGCUAAUACAUGCAUCAGCACCCGACUUUACGGAAGGGUCGUGUUUAUUAGAUACAAAACCAACAUCUCUGUUGGUGAUUCAUAAUAACCAAACGAAUCGAGCAGUUUACUGCCGAUAGAUCAUUCAAGUUUCUGACCUAUCAGCUUUCGACGGUAGGGUAUUGGCCUACCGUGGCAUUGACGGGUAACGGAGAAUUAGGGUUCGAUUCCGGAGAGGGAGCCUGAGAAACGGCUACCACGUCUAGGAUGGCAGCAGGCGCGCAAAUUACCCAAUCCUGACACAGGGAGGUAGUGACAAGAAAUAACAAUGCAGGGCAAUUUUGUCUUGUAUUGGAAUGAGUAAAUUUUAAAUCCCUUUGCGAGUAUCAAUUGGAGGGCAAGUCUGGU
RNAcentral lists this ribosomal RNA (466 nucleotides) under uncultured marine eukaryote. RNAcentral's name for it is "SSU rRNA". It matches the Rfam family "Eukaryotic small subunit ribosomal RNA", at positions 83 to 565 of the family's 1831-position model. The record is from RNAcentral.